UACGGAGGGUGCAAGCGUUAUCCGGAUUCACUGGGUUUAAAGGGUGCGUAGGUGGGCAGGUAAGUCCGUGGUGAAAUCUCUGAGCUUAACUCAGAAACUGCCGUGGAUACUAUUUGUCUUGAAUGUUGUGGAGGUGAGCGGAAUAUGUCAUGUAGCGGUGAAAUGCUUAGAUAUGACAUAGAACACCAAUUGCGAAGGCAGCUCACUACACAAUUAUUGACACUGAGGCACGAAAGCGUGGGGAUCAAACAGG
Molecule: ribosomal RNA, 253 nt
Filed under: uncultured bacterium
Lineage: Bacteria
Description: partial 16S ribosomal RNA
Rfam family: Bacterial small subunit ribosomal RNA
Source: RNAcentral